CUCCCUUCCCCCUCUUUCUUCUUCCCUUGACUCCAGCCCCCGGUCGGCUGCCUAUCUCCCGAUGCCCCCUGGACAGCUGUGCAGAGCCCUGAGCGACCCCUUCGGCCCGGAGCCGUCGCCUCCCCACGCAGCCCGUCCCUCCUAAGCCAGCGCUGGGCUGAGCGUGGCCGCGCCGCUGUGGACCCCCCAGCCCCGCCGGGAAAACUCCCCUCGCUCCUCUCUCCCUGCUGCGACCGCCACCCUCAUUUCAUUUGAAUAGAAAACGGGAAAAGUUCCUUCUCGGUCACCCACAGCCUUCCCCUAACUAGGGGGCGUCAGCCUCCUCCAGCUGCGCCCGGAGCUGAAAUGGCGAUUUUAUUUCUGUCCUGUAUGGGGCCGGACCGAGGAUUACCCCGCCACAAGCUAUCUGCUGGAUUCAGCAGUUUCGUCCCCUCCCCGCUUGUGUGAAUUGCUACAGGGAGUGUGGGAAAGGCGGGAGGGGAAGGGGGCUGUGGGCAUCCUCUGGAUCUGCGGAGCAGGGAAGGGCUGCCUUGGCCGCCCCCAGUUCUCCUGGGCUCCUCCAUUGGGAAUGGGGUUGGCGGCUGGGGGAGGAGGCUCAGAUGCCGUGGUCCUGGCCCUGGGUGCAGGUCGCCUUUGGAAGCAAGUGUCAAAGCCAGCCGGAGCAUGUGCUAUUGUUUCGUUGGAAGUGAGUUCCAAGCCACCGCUUUCCAUCUGUUAAGUGUCUGGGUGCUGCUUAUUGAGAGAGUCUGGUGCACCCAGGCUCCUCCCUCCCCUUCGGGCCUGCUGGAGCCGGCCAGCCAGUGCCAGGGCCAGUGGUCACUUCCUCUCCCUCCCCUGGCCAGCCUGGUCUCCACCUGGUGGACGGUCACAGGCUUUACAGACACCCCCAGGGCCAUCUGGAGCUCUGGUGGCAGCUGGGGUCCUGGGGAAGGUGAGAGCUCCUUGCCUGUCCGUGGGGGUGGCAUCAUCCUGUGAGGAGCUGGACUGGACCCCUGUGUAGAUACUGGAUCGAUGAGGCCUCAGCAGCUGCCUAGAGAGGAACCCUUUCCUCUCCCAGAUCCCCAUGGAGCAGUGCGGUCUUCCAUUCGUCAACAAUCUCAUUACUGCGUGUUGGGUGCUGUUCUGGGCACUGGGAAUUCAGUAGUGAACAGAAUAAGCAGAGAUCCCUGGCCUGAAGAAGCUGGCAUUCUCUGGGGAAGACAGACACGAUGCCCUUCAAGGGGUUGCAUGAUCCCAUGCACACAGGGAGGCAUCUGCUCGCCACAGUCCACCACUGCAAACGCUGGUCUCAGCCAGAGGCACCUCACAGACUCCCCCAGAAACAGCGCAUCCCCAGCUAUUGGGCAUCCCGGGCUGGCCAGGUGGACACACAGACCUCACCAGUGCAGGUAGUGAGGAAUGGUUGACUCCGCAUCCAAGUUGGAGGUUGUGGGGUCUUCAUUUGUGCCUAUUUCCUAGGUGGGCAUUAUGCCUAUUCUCUGCCUUCCUUCCCCUGGCUCUGCCUGCAGUCAUGCUCGUUGGUCCUGAACAGCCUUGGUGGGGAAGGUUCCAGAAGUGGCGCCUGCUCUGUGCCCCCCACAUCAGCCCCAGGGUCUCCUGGUAUCCUAAACCUACAUCCCUGCUCCUGGCCCGGCUGUCGGGAAUGCAGCCAAUGUUCGUUCCUCAGAAUCAAGAUAAAAACGAAGGGAACCUCCUGCCUCUGCCAGGCAGGCCGCAGGCCAGGCUGGGGACC
RNAcentral lists this long non-coding RNA (1732 nucleotides) under Homo sapiens (human). RNAcentral's name for it is "HSALNT0404403". Lineage: Eukaryota; Metazoa; Chordata; Mammalia; Primates; Hominidae. The record is from RNAcentral.